Molecule: long non-coding RNA, 146 nt
Organism: Sphaeramia orbicularis (orbiculate cardinalfish)
Lineage: Eukaryota; Metazoa; Chordata; Actinopteri; Kurtiformes; Apogonidae
Exons: 3
Source: RefSeq, a predicted model, not a curated record
UAUCUGUUUUUAAUGGUAUGGACAUUUUUAAUGUACAGUCGCGGAGAAAAUUAAUUAGACCACCAAAAGCCAUCAAAACAAUGGUUAUGCAAUCAAGUACUAACCCCUAUGUGUUUCAUGUGACUAAAACAGACAGAAAAGAAACA